UACGAAGGGGGCUAGCGUUGUUCGGAAUUACUGGGCGUAAAGGGCGCGCAGGCGGCCUAUCAAGUCAGAUGUGAAAGCCCCGGGCUCAACCUGGGAACUGCAUUUGAGACUGAUAGGCUUGAGUUCGGGAGAGGAGAGCGGAAUUCCCAGUGUAGAGGUGAAAUUCGUAGAUAUUGGGAAGAACACCGGUGGCGAAGGCGGCUCUCUGGACCGAUACUGACGCUGAGGAGCGAAAGCGUGGGGAGCGAACAGG
Molecule: ribosomal RNA, 253 nt
Filed under: uncultured bacterium
Lineage: Bacteria
Description: partial 16S ribosomal RNA
Rfam family: Bacterial small subunit ribosomal RNA
Source: RNAcentral